Molecule: ribosomal RNA, 273 nt
Filed under: Triticum aestivum (bread wheat)
Lineage: Eukaryota; Viridiplantae; Streptophyta; Magnoliopsida; Poales; Poaceae
Description: partial small subunit ribosomal RNA
Source: RNAcentral
AUGUCUACGGUGACCCGUGCCCACCUCGACCAGAGGCUCGCCGCCGCCAAGCGCUGCUCCAGAGAGGCUGCCAUGGCAGGAGCCAAGGCCGCGGCCGUCGCCACCGUCGCAGCCGCAGUCCCCACAAUGCUGCCGUGGGCCAAGGCACACCUGAACCCAACCGGGCAGGCCCUCAUCAUCUCCACCGUCGCCGACAAGACCAUCCUCUCCAUGGCCAGGAAGCACUCCUUCGAGGACGCGCCGGACCACCUCAAGAACACCUCCUUCCACUAA